Molecule: ribosomal RNA, 1062 nt
Filed under: uncultured bacterium
Lineage: Bacteria
Description: bacterial SSU rRNA
Rfam family: Bacterial small subunit ribosomal RNA
Source: RNAcentral
AGAGUUUGAUCAUGGCUCAUAACGAACGCUGGCGGCGUGCCUAACACAUGCAAGUCGAACGGAGUUAACAGCAGCACUCAGCAGUCAGUAAUCAGCGAUCAGCAAGGGAGAGAAGAUCUUUAUAGCUGGCAGCGAAGGGCUGAAAGCUGAGUGCUGUUGUUAACUUAGUGGCGGACGGGUGAGUAACACGUAGGUAACCUACCUCAAAGCGGGGGACAACUCUUCGAAAGGAGAGCUAAUACCGCAUAAGACUACGGACUGGGAUGUUUGUAGUAAAAGGAGCGAUCCACUUUGAGAGGGGCCUGCGGCCUAUCAGGUAGUUGGUAAGGUAACGGCUUACCAAGCCGAAGACGGGUAGCCGGACUGAGAGGUUGAACGGCCACACUGGAACUGAGACACGGUCCAGACUCCUACGGGAGGCAGCAGUGGGGAAUUUUGCGCAAUGGGGGAAACCCUGACGCAGCGACGCCGCGUGAAGGAUGAAGGUCUUCGGAUUGUAAACUUCUUUUGUCGGGGAAGAUAAUGACGGUACCCGAUGAAUAAGCCACGGCUAACUCUGUGCCAGCAGCCGCGGUAAGACAGAGGUGGCAAGCGUUGUUCGGAAUUACUGGGCUUAAAGGGCGCGUAGGCGUCCCGGUAAGUCAGAUGUGGAAGCUUUCCGCUUAACGGGAAAAUUGCAUCUGAUACUGUCGGGAUUGAGUCAGCGAGGGGAUGGCGGAAUUCCAGGUGUAGCGGUGAAAUGCGUAGAUAUCUGGAGGAAGGCCGGUGGCGAAGGCGGCCAUCUGGCGCUGAACUGACGCUGAGGCGCGAAAGCGUGGGGAGCAAACAGGAUUAGAUACCCUGGUAGUCCACGCCCUAUACGGUGGGUACUAGGUGUACGGCUCGCAAGGGUUUCUGUGCCGUAGGGAAACCAUUAAGUACCCCGCCUGGGGAGUACUGCCGCAAAGUUGAAACUCAAAAGGAAUUUGACAAGGGCCCGCACAAGCGGUGGUAGCAUGUGGUUUUAUUUCGACGCAACGCGAAGAACCUUACCUGGGCCUUGACAUUGUUAGGUGGUAGGAA